This 467-nucleotide ribosomal RNA is filed under the name Streptomyces acidiscabies. RNAcentral describes it as "bacterial SSU rRNA". It matches the Rfam family "Bacterial small subunit ribosomal RNA", at positions 553 to 1016 of the family's 1533-position model. The record is from RNAcentral. Lineage: Bacteria; Bacillati; Actinomycetota; Actinomycetes; Kitasatosporales; Streptomycetaceae.
AUUGGGCGUAAAGAGCUCGUAGGCGGCUUGUCGCGUCGGAUGUGAAAGCCCGGGGCUUAACCCCGGGUCUGCAUUCGAUACGGGCAGGCUAGAGUUCGGUAGGGGAGAUCGGAAUUCCUGGUGUAGCGGUGAAAUGCGCAGAUAUCAGGAGGAACACCGGUGGCGAAGGCGGAUCUCUGGGCCGAUACUGACGCUGAGGAGCGAAAGCGUGGGGAGCGAACAGGAUUAGAUACCCUGGUAGUCCACGCCGUAAACGGUGGGAACUAGGUGUUGGCGACAUUCCACGUCGUCGGUGCCGCAGCUAACGCAUUAAGUUCCCCGCCUGGGGAGUACGGCCGCAAGGCUAAAACUCAAAGGAAUUGACGGGGGCCCGCACAAGCAGCGGAGCAUGUGGCUUAAUUCGACGCAACGCGAAGAACCUUACCAAGGCUUGACAUACACCGGAAACGGCCAGAGAUGGUCGCCCC